GAUGAACGCUGGCGGCGUGCCUAAUACAUGCAAGUCGAGCGAACAGACGAGGAGCUUGCUCCUCUGACGUUAGCGGCGGACGGGUGAGUAACACGUGGAUAACCUACCUAUAAGACUGGGAUAACUUCGGGAAACCGGAGCUAAUACCGGAUAAUAUAUUGAACCGCAUGGUUCAAUAGUGAAAGACGGUUUUGCUGUCACUUAUAGAUGGAUCCGCGCCGCAUUAGCUAGUUGGUAAGGUAACGGCUUACCAAGGCAACGAUGCGUAGCCGACCUGAGAGGGUGUCCGGCCACGCUCGAACUGAGACACGGUCCAGACUCCUACGAGAGGCACCAGUAGGGAAUCUUCCGCAAUGGGCGAAAGCCUGACGGAGCAACGCCGCGUGAGUGAUGAAGGUCUUCGGAUCGUAAAACUCUGUUAUUAGGGAAGAACAAAUGUGUAAGUAACUAUGCACGUCUUGACGGUACCUAAUCAGAAAGCCACGGCUAACUACGUG
RNAcentral lists this ribosomal RNA (497 nucleotides) under uncultured bacterium. Its description in RNAcentral is "partial 16S ribosomal RNA". It matches the Rfam family "Bacterial small subunit ribosomal RNA", at positions 28 to 507 of the family's 1533-position model. The record is from RNAcentral.